UACGUAGGGUGCGAGCGUUAAUCGGAAUUACUGGGCGUAAAGCGUGCGCAGGCGGUUUUUUAAGCCAGAUGUGAAAUCCCCGGGCUUAACCUGGGAAUGGCAUUUGGGACUGCAAGGCUUGAGUGCGGCAGAGGAGACUGGAAUUCCUGGUGUAGCAGUGAAAUGCGUAGAUAUCAGGAGGAACACCGAUGGCGAAGGCGGGUCUCUGGGCAGUAACUGACGCUGAGGAGCGAAAGCGUGGGGAGCGAACAGG
RNAcentral lists this ribosomal RNA (253 nucleotides) under uncultured bacterium. Its description in RNAcentral is "partial 16S ribosomal RNA". It matches the Rfam family "Bacterial small subunit ribosomal RNA", at positions 524 to 776 of the family's 1533-position model. The record is from RNAcentral.